UGUCGGCUGAAUCAGAGAUUGGCGACACAAAUUAAAACAUUUUGUAUUAGGAAAGAGUUAUGUCUCUGAAUGCAGAAAUUAAAGCAACAAUCGUUGCUGAAUACGCACAGUGUGA
RNAcentral lists this non-coding RNA (115 nucleotides) under fish gut metagenome. RNAcentral's name for it is "Ribosomal S15 leader". It matches the Rfam family "Ribosomal S15 leader". From Rfam's summary of the family: The E. coli Ribosomal S15 gene 5' UTR can form two alternative structures. One that is a series of three hairpins, The other includes a pseudoknot. This structure causes translational regulation of the S15 protein. The record is from RNAcentral.